UGUGAGCCGAAAGUGGUUUGAAGCCAGGGAGAUUUAGGCCAUGGUCUCUAGAAGGGAGGAUUACGCUCGGGUGUGGCAUGACAGUUGACUUUUCAUAACACAGCCACACUGAGCCACCACUGGCCUCCAGGAUCUGUCACCGGACUCCAUCACAAGUGGCCCUCCAAAUUGAAAAAGUCUGCAACCAUCAGGAGGAGCAUAAGGGGGAAAGGUCUCAGGCCUCCAGUCAGGAGGAGCGACAGCCAUCUUCCAAAGCUAAUCCCUCAAGAGGUGUUUCACCAGUAUCAACUUACUGAAAAAGAACAUCCUGUGAAUGGAGGAACAAAUGCAUGAUGAAUACCACGGUGCUCGGU
This is a long non-coding RNA of Gasterosteus aculeatus aculeatus (three-spined stickleback), 353 nucleotides long. NCBI's taxonomy places the organism in Eukaryota, Metazoa, Chordata, Actinopteri, Perciformes, Gasterosteidae. The record is from Ensembl.